AACGAACGCUGGCGGCAUGCCUAACACAUGCAAGUCGAACGAGACCUUCGGGUCUAGUGGCGCACGGGUGCGUAACGCGUGGGAACCUGCCCUUAGGUUCGGAAUAACUCCCCGAAAGGGGUGCUAAUACCGGAUAAUGUCUUUGGACCAAAGAUUUAUCGCCUUUGGAUGGGCCCUCGUUGGAUUAGCUGGUUGGUAGGGUAAAAGCCUACCAAGGCGACGAUCCAUAGCUGGUCUGAGAGGCUGAUCAGCCACACUGGGACUGAGACACGGCCCAGACUCCUACGGGAGGCAGCAGUGGGGAAUAUUGGACAAUGGGCGAAAGCAUGAUCCAGCAAUGCCGCGUGAGUGAUGAAGGCCUUAGGGUUGUAAAGCUCUUUUACCCGGGAUGAUAAUGACAGUACCGGGAGAAUAAGCUCCGGCUAACUCCGUG
This 433-nucleotide ribosomal RNA is filed under the name uncultured bacterium. RNAcentral's name for it is "partial 16S ribosomal RNA". It matches the Rfam family "Bacterial small subunit ribosomal RNA", at positions 29 to 507 of the family's 1533-position model. The record is from RNAcentral.